RNAcentral lists this ribosomal RNA (1158 nucleotides) under uncultured bacterium. Its description in RNAcentral is "bacterial SSU rRNA". It matches the Rfam family "Bacterial small subunit ribosomal RNA", at positions 29 to 1210 of the family's 1533-position model. The record is from RNAcentral.
UUGAACGCUGGCGGCAUGCCUUACACAUGCAAGUCGAACGGUAACAGGUUAAGCUGACGAGUGGCGAACGGGUGAGUAAUGUAUCGGAACGUGCCCAGUCGUGGGGGAUAACUGCUCGAAAGAGCAGCUAAUACCGCAUACGACCUGAGGGUGAAAGCGGGGGAUCGCAAGACCUCGCGCGAUUGGAGCGGCCGAUAUCAGAUUAGGUAGUUGGUGAGGUAAAGGCUCACCAAGCCGACGAUCUGUAGCUGGUCUGAGAGGACGACCAGCCACACUGGGACUGAGACACGGCCCAGACUCCUACGGGAGGCAGCAGUGGGGAAUUUUGGACAAUGGGCGCAAGCCUGAUCCAGCCAUGCCGCGUGCGGGAAGAAGGCCUUCGGGUUGUAAACCGCUUUUGUCAGGGAAGAAAAGGUUCUGGCUAAUACCUGGGACUCAUGACGGUACCUGAAGAAUAAGCACCGGCUAACUACGUGCCAGCAGCCGCGGUAAUACGUAGGGUGCAAGCGUUAAUCGGAAUUACUGGGCGUAAAGCGUGCGCAGGCGGUUAUGCAAGACAGAGGUGAAAUCCCCGGGCUCAACCUGGGAACUGCCUUUGUGACUGCAUGGCUAGAGUACGGUAGAGGGGGAUGGAAUUCCGCGUGUAGCAGUGAAAUGCGUAGAUAUGCGGAGGAACACCGAUGGCGAAGGCAAUCCCCUGGACCUGUACUGACGCUCAUGCACGAAAGCGUGGGGAGCAAACAGGAUUAGAUACCCUGGUAGUCCACGCCCUAAACGAUGUCAACUGGUUGUUGGGGAGGGUUUCUUCUCAGUAACGUAGCUAACGCGUGAAGUUGACCGCCUGGGGAGUACGGCCGCAAGGUUGAAACUCAAAGGAAUUGACGGGACCCGCACAAGCGGUGGAUGAUGUGGUUUAAUUCGAUGCAACGCGAAAAACCUUACCUACCCUUGACAUGUCUGGAAUCCUGAAGAGAUUCGGAGUGCUCGAAAGAGAGCCAGACACAGUGCUGCAUGGCGUCGUCAGCUCGUGUCGUGAGAUGUGGGUUAAGUCCCGCACGAGCGCACCCUUGUCAUAGUGCUACGAAGGCACUCUAUGAACUGCGUGACAACCCGAGGAAGGGUGGGAUGAACUCAGGUCAUCAUGGGCCCCUAUAUCUG